This 3423-nucleotide long non-coding RNA is filed under the name Marmota monax (woodchuck). Lineage: Eukaryota; Metazoa; Chordata; Mammalia; Rodentia; Sciuridae. The record is from RNAcentral.
UGUGACCUCAAGUAUGUUCCAAAUUUCAGAGCAAACAAUUUCAACAUUUCACCAUUAAGUACCAUGUUUCAUGCAUUUUAAAAAGAUACUCUUAACAAAUUAGUUUCUACCCCUAGUUUGAUAAGAAUUCUUCUUAUACUGUAAGUAGACUUUUCUGAACCUUUACAUCUAAGAUAAUGAUGAUUUUUUCCCUUUCUUCUGCCAAUAUGAUGAAUUACCUUGGUUGAUUGUUUGUGUGUGUGUGUGUGUGAAAAUAAUCAUAAGAUAAGCUCAAUUUGAUUGUCAUGUAUCCUUUUAUAUUUUGUUGGUUGCUUGCUGUUAUUUUGCUUGAUAACCUAAACUUCUAUGCAAGAUUUAUUAAUUUGCAGCAUUAAGUGUUUUUCACAACAACUAAAAAAUAGAAUGGAUAAAUUGCAAAAUUAUAUUAGUAAAAUUAUCGGAGUUGUGGCACAAAGAACAGGUGAACCAAAUUCUAGAGAAAUCUUCUUCUAGAACCAAAAUUCUAGAAGAAGUCUUCCUAAGUAAGCUAAUGGUUGUCUUUGUUUUCUUCCCCAAUGGACUUGACACAGGCAGAGAGACACUAAUGGAAGAAAAAGAAGCCCUCAGGAUUUUUGACAGUCAAGAAGGGCUGAUAUGACCUAUUAGAAACUGGAAGAGUCCAAGUUUUUUUUUCCCUCUUGCUGACUUUAAGGAUAAUCUGUGAGACUAUGAGGCCAGAAAAGCAGAUUGAAAUCCCUCAUUGUCUUGUAGCACUUAAAGGGGAAAAGAUGUUAUUAAGGGGAAGGAGUCUAUCACUAAUUACAACUAGUUGCUUCCUCGGGUGUAUGUACAUAAGUGUAUUAGUUUACUAGGGAUGUCAUAACAAAGUACCACACACUGGGUAGUUUAGAAAACAAUUCUAGAAGCUAGAAAUCCAAGAUUAAGGCAUCAGUUGGAUUAUUUUUUUCUGAGGUUUCUAUCCUGUCUUGUAGAUCAAGAUCUUCGUAUCUCUUCAUAUGGUCUUCCUUCUGUAUCUGCGCCCUAAUCCAGCAUGUUGGAUUACAGCCCACCAUAAUGAACCCAUUUUAAUUUAAUUACCUCUUUAAAGAACUUAUCUUGAAAUCAUAUCAUACUAUGAGGUAAUUGGGGGUUGAGCUCAAUCAUGAAUUUGGUAGGGGGAAGGCACAAUUCAGCCCAUAACAACAGAAGCCAAAGAGUUAAGCUCAAAACUCUUAAGGACAAAACUUUAGGUUUUUAAAAACAAGCUCAAUCUGAGCACAGUGACACACACCUGUAAUCCUAGCAGCUUGGGAGGUUGAGGCAGGAGAAUCAUGAGUUCAAAGCCAUCCUCAGCAAUUUAGCAAUGCCCUAGCAACUCGGCAAGACCCUGCUUCUCAAUAAAAUAUAUAUAUAUAUAAAAAGCUGGGGAUGUGGCUCAGUGAUUAUGUGUCCCAGGUUCAAUCCCCUGUACCAAAAAAUAAAAAAUAAAAACAAGCUCUCAAAAGCCCUGACCCACUUCAGUUACUGAUUAAAUUGGGGUGAUCUGUCUUUUAGUCUAUCUGCCUAACAGGAAAAUGAGAACCCUCAGUAAUGGGAGAUGUCAAUUGGAACCUUCUUUUACAUACAAGAUCUGUCUUUGCAUGCUUGCUCUGACAUGCUCAGGCAUCUCCAAGUGUUUUGUGUGUAUUCACAAUUAACCCUUGCAAAAUCCCAUCUGAGUUUUAUGAGGAGAUAAUGCAUUGCAUUUUGUAAUAUCUUAGUCUUUCAUAGUUUUGCAAAGCUCUCUAUUUACAUAUAUAUUGCCCAAGGUUAUUUUAAAGUGAAGUAACCACCCUAAGAUUUACAUUUGGCUAUUUUAUCAUCAUGGUCCUUGAUCUUUCUACUGUAUUUGACUAGUUCCUGACUUACUGCAAAUUAUAGCAUGUUGAAACUCAACUGUCCCUUAGCUCCUUCGCCUCAGCAACUGUGAUUCACCAAAUUGGCUUUGUCAAACCCUAAAAAGAUUUUUAAUUGCAGAUUUAAUUUGUUUAGGAGUUUUUUAAUUGAUUUGUUUUUCUCUUUCUUCUUGUAACAAUUUUGGAGAAUAGAGUCCUGUUAGAAAUCUUCCCCUUUCAUCUAAAAUUUCAAAGUUAUAACAGUAAAGUUAUUUAUAAUAUCCUUUUUAUGAUUUCUAACUGUCUAAAGUAUUUGUAAUAAAGAUUAGUAAAUACUAGACAUCUGAAAAUUCUGUUUACCACUGGUAAAGGUUAAUAAUCUGAAGUAUCUUCAAGUAUCUUCUUUCUUCCUGAUGAGUCUUAUCAGAGUUUAUUAUUUUCAUUAGCUUUUCUUUUUUAUAAAAAAAUUGUAUUUUGGUUGUGUUAAUUUUCCCAUUAUGUGUGUGUUUUUAUUGUGUGGACUUUUUGUUUUUAUCGUUAUCUUUACUUUUUUUGGGUUCCUUUUCUGCUCUUUUUCUAAUUUCGUGUGUGUGUGUGUGGGGGGGAAGAUUGAGUUUAUUUUUGCCUGUGUGUGUGUGUGUGUGUGUGUGUGUGUGAGUUGCUAGGACUCAACUUGGGACCUCACACAUACUAGGCUAAUGGUCUACCACUAAGCCACAUCACCACCCCUCUCUAAUUUCUUGAGAGGUAUAUCUAAAUAUCUAAUUAUGCUUAAUCAUUUUUCUCUGAACAAUGGCACAUUUAGAAAUAUGUUUCUUAUAUUUAUAAAUUUAUUGAUCUUCUCUUUUUAUAUUUAUUUUUAGCUCAAUCCCAUUAUAGAUAGAGAAUAUUUUCUAUGCCUUUUCAUUUCUUUGAUAUUUGUUGAAAUGUGCUUUGUGGUCCAGCAUUUAGUCAAAUUUGCUACAUACUUGAAAAGUUUUACUUUUCCCUCAGUUCUUCUGUUCAUGCCUAAAAGCCCUUUGUGGUUUAUAUCUUGACAAAUAACUACAUAAUGCCAUUCCCCAGGUCCAGAAAUAGAAUUCUAUCAGUACCCUAGAAACCACAUACAUAUGUAUGCCUAUGUCAUCACAGUCCUAUUCUUUCCCCAUGAUACAAUCAUUGCCUGACUUCUGAUACAGUAAUUUCUUGCUUCUCUUUAUAAAUUUACUGUGAAUGCAUCUCUAAGCAAGAGUUUAUUUUUGCCUGUGUGUAUGUAUGUGUGUGUGUGUGUGUGUGUGUGUGAUUGAACUUGGGGAAAAUUAGCUAUUGUGAAUUGUGCUGCUAUAAACAUUGAUGUGACUUCAUUACUGUAGUAUGCUGAUUUUAACUCCUUUGGAUACAUACUGAGAGCAGGAGUAAUGGUGGUUUCAUUCCUAAUUUUUUGAGGAAUCUCCAUACUGUUUUCCAGAGUGGUUGAACCAAUUUGCAGUCCCACCAACAAGGUAUGAGUGUAUGAGUGUACCCUUUUCCCCACAUUCUUGCCAACAUUUUUGUUACUUCUAUACUUGAUAAUUGCCAUUCUGGUUGACAU